GUACAAACAAAAAAUGAUCAUGCAAUUCAGAAAAGGACAAAAAGGGAACAUGUUUUUCCGCAGUUGUGUAAACGAGCGGAGUUUCAAAGAUAAGGGCCACAAUUCCGUCUAAUAAACAAGCAUGGAAAUUAGAAAAAAAUUAAAAGCCACACGUCCAAGGUAAUACAGAUGAUGACAGGUGAACCAGGAAAGUUAGGAAAGGAACGUAAGAACAAGGGAAAUUUAAUACGAUGUUAAAAAGAAAUAUUAUAAAAAAGAGUGUAAUAGAAUCUCGGGGAUUCCUCUUGUUAAUUAUUUUUUUCCUUAAGACAACUAUUAAACUAAGGUUCAAACAUUAAUAAUUAUUCAAGAUUAUUUGUUUGCUGCUCAUCGUAUAAGGGUGUAAUUACUGAUAUUGUUCUACAGAGUUGUUGAUGGAAACUUUGCAGAGCCCCUUUACUUUAAAUAUAUUAUAAAUAACAGAAAGAAUUACACAAAUCAGUAGAAAAAUAUAUAAAUACCAAAAAAAAAAAAAAAAGAAAC
Long non-coding RNA from Hevea brasiliensis (rubber tree), 522 nucleotides. RefSeq lists it as uncharacterized. The transcript has 2 exons. The record is from RefSeq and is a predicted model, not a curated record. Lineage: Eukaryota; Viridiplantae; Streptophyta; Magnoliopsida; Malpighiales; Euphorbiaceae.